Molecule: ribosomal RNA, 591 nt
Filed under: Salmonella enterica
Lineage: Bacteria; Pseudomonadati; Pseudomonadota; Gammaproteobacteria; Enterobacterales; Enterobacteriaceae
Also listed under: 1 other name
Description: partial 23S ribosomal RNA
Rfam family: Bacterial large subunit ribosomal RNA
Source: RNAcentral
UGUUUCGGCUAGGGGGCCAUCCCGGCUUACCAACCCGAUGCAAACUGCGAAUACCGGAGAAUGUUAUCACGGGAGACACACGGCGGGUGCUAACGUCCGUCGUGAAGAGGGAAACAACCCAGACCGCCAGCUAAGGUCCCAAAGUCAUGGUUAAGUGGGAAACGAUGUGGGAAGGCCCAGACAGCCAGGAUGUUGGCUUAGAAGCAGCCAUCAUUUAAAGAAAGCGUAAUAGCUCACUGGUCGAGUCGGCCUGCGCGGAAGAUGUAACGGGGCUAAACCAUGCACCGAAGCUGCGGCAGCGACACUUUAGUGUUGUUGGGUAGGGGAGCGUUCUGUAAGCCGUUGAAGGUGUCCUGUGAGGGGUGCUGGAGGUAUCAGAAGUGCGAAUGCUGACAUAAGUAACGAUAAAGCGGGUGAAAAGCCCGCUCGCCGGAAGACCAAGGGUUCCUGUCCAACGUUAAUCGGGGCAGGGUGAGUCGACCCCUAAGGCGAGGCCGAAAGGCGUAGUCGAUGGGAAACGGGUUAAUAUUCCCGUACUUGGUGUUACUGCGAAGGGGGGACGGAGAAGGCUAUGUUGGCCGGGCGACGGUU